AUGAGAAUGAGAGUUGGCAGCUGUGGCCAUGUGCAUGUGAACUCACAGCUGCUGAGACUGAAACCUUCCCUUGGCCAACGAUGCCUGAAGUGGGAACAUGUGCAGCUUGAUAAUUAAAGCUUUAGAAAAUCUGGUCAUUCUAUUGCAUCCCAGCCCCUGACAUACAGAAAGAGAUGGAAGAUGGCAGCCCUGAAAUGCCUUCGUGGUCAUCCUGCAUGCCCUUGUACAAGUCUACUGCCUGUCUAUCCAGAUGUUUCCUCAUUCUGACAGGAUGCUAAAAUAGCCUCUGUCAGUUUCAACAUCAGUCAUUCUGAGAUCUGUGCCAAUUCAUAGCCCUGGCUCAAGAUAGAAUAUAAAUCACAUAAAACCUUCUAAUGUCUUUAACAUAAAAGCAAUUGCCCAACAGUAGUGACGCACACCUUUAGUCCCAGCAAUCAGGAAGCAGAGGCAGCUAGAUAUGAGUU
Mastomys coucha (southern multimammate mouse) is the source of this 464-nucleotide long non-coding RNA. RefSeq lists it as uncharacterized. The record is from RefSeq and is a predicted model, not a curated record. The transcript has 3 exons. Lineage: Eukaryota; Metazoa; Chordata; Mammalia; Rodentia; Muridae.